UACCUACGGGGGGCAGCAGUGGGGAAUAUUGGACAAUGGGGGAAACCCUGAUCCAGCGACGCCGCGUGAGUGAAGAAGUAUUUCGGUAUGUAAAGCUCUAUCAGCAGGGAAGAAGAUGACGGUACCUGAUUAAGAAGCCCCGGCUAACUACGUGCCAGCAGCCGCGGUAAUACGUAGGGGGCAAGCGUUAUCCGGAUUUACUGGGUGUAAAGGGAGCGCAGACGGCAGUGCAAGUCUGGAGUGAAAGCCCGGGGCUCAACCCCGGAACUGCUCUGGAAACUGUGCGGCUAGAGUACUGGAGGGGG
Molecule: ribosomal RNA, 305 nt
Filed under: uncultured bacterium
Lineage: Bacteria
Description: bacterial SSU rRNA
Rfam family: Bacterial small subunit ribosomal RNA
Source: RNAcentral